Molecule: unclassified non-coding RNA, 2002 nt
Filed under: Hevea brasiliensis (rubber tree)
Lineage: Eukaryota; Viridiplantae; Streptophyta; Magnoliopsida; Malpighiales; Euphorbiaceae
Source: RNAcentral
CUCGUCUAUUGCGUGCGAUCUAAUCUAGCAGUUCUCAGAACAGAUACUCACAAACCCUAAUACCUCUCGAAUUUCUUUUCAAUAAUCAGAUCAAUUCCUAAAUCAGAUAUCUUCUUUGACAAAUGAUUGCGGUCUCUGUAAAGCCAUUGUUCAUCGCCAUCUUCACUCUCUCUCUCUUCCUCGCCGGCAUUUUGCUCUCUCCUUCGACGCUAUUUUCUUCGAGCCUAGUUUCCCCUUCAUAUUCAUCCGCAGGGAAAUUGGAUAUAUGGAGUGUUAGAAGGGUUGUGGAAUGGAGGCCUUGCGGGUGGUGGCUUCAAGGACACCUUACUGACAAUUGCAUUGGUUUUUUGUUGAAAUCCUGCAGCUCUACCAGCAGAGAAUAAUGGAUAUAUCCGUGUGGAUUGCUAUGGUGGCCUCAAUCAGAUGAGACGAGAUUUCUGUGAUGGUGUUGGCAUUGCCCGUUUGUUAAAUGCAACACUGGUGUUGCCAAAGUUUGAAGCUGCUGCAUAUUGGAAUGAAUCAAGUGGCUUUGCAGAUGUAUUUGAUGUUGAUUACUUCAUUCAACAUAUAAAUGGCUUUGUUAAAGUCGUUAAAGAAUUGCCUCCAGAUAUAGCAUCAAAAGAACCUUUUCAGGUAGACUGUAGCAAACGGAAAGGCCAAUUUGAUUAUAUCGAGAGUGUUCUUCCGUCCCUGUUGGAACACCAUUAUAUUUCAAUUACACCGGCAAUGAGCCAACGAAGGGACAGGUAUCCAAAAUAUGCAAAAGUUGCACUUUGUCAAGCUUGUUACAGUGCAUUACGCCUUACAAGAUCCUUGGAAAAGAAAGCUUCAGAACUUCUGGAAGCUAUACCAAAACCCUUCCUCUCACUUCACCUUCGAUUUGAACCGGAUAUGGUAGCAUACAGCCAAUGUGAAUACUCAGGCCUUUCUCCUACCUCCAUGGAAGCCAUUAAAGCUGCAAGGGGAGAUAGAAAACCAUGGACUGGAGAGUUGGCCCGUAUUUGGAGAAAACGGGGAAAGUGUCCCUUAACGCCUAGUGAGACGGCCCUCAUACUUCAGGCACUUUCUGUUCCUACAAACACAAAUAUAUAUCUUGCAGCUGGGGAUGGCCUAAUGGAAAUUGAAGGGUUAACAUCUGUAUACACCAAUGUUUAUGUAAAGUCUGCUCUUCUUGGCGGUGAGGAUUUCACAAGCAUGCAUGGGAAUACAAAAGCUGCAUUGGAUUAUUAUGUAUCUAUCAAUAGCGACUCAUACAUGGCUACUUAUUUUGGUAACAUGGAUAAGAUGGUUGCUGCUAUGCGAGCUUAUAAGGGCCUGUAUAAAACCCUAUUCUUAAGUCGAAGAGCUUUUGCAGAGCUCACUUUUCAAGGCUUGAAAGGGAAGGAGUUGAUGCAAGCCUUGUGGACAGCUCACAAAGGAGAUUUUAUCAUGGGAAGAGGGUCUGCUUUGCCCGACUGCUUUUGUGAAUUUAAAUUGUAACUUCAUCUUUUAUGUCUUUUUUUUUUUUAAUUGUUUUUCCCGUCCUGGUUUAGUGAUAUAGUUUCUUUUGUAUCUGAUAUCAUGCUUGUUGCUGUUCCCUUUUGGAAAGUCUGGUGGACAGCAGGAAGCCAUUUUUUGAAGUCCUUGGAGAUUGAUUAAAACAGAAAAUAAUCGAUUACCUACUUCAAGCAAUAAUGUUGGUUGGAUAACGUUAUGGAAAAUAUUUUCUCAUAGGAAAUUUUGGUUAUGCUUCUACUGAUACGGUGAACACAACGGUGCUUGUUUUUCUCCUGGCGAUGAAGCUUUUGGCUCUGGUGACCGUGACAGCUUUAAUUAGCAGAGAAGUUUAUGGAGAUAUUGGCACUGUAACAUCUUAUGACUCUCUACAUUCGUGUGGAUAUUGCGCCUUUUAUUUUAUUAUUUGAAUGUUGCAAACUUGCAAUGCUUUUAAAAUGAUAAUAGUCGAAGUUGAAAUCAUGAAGAAUUCCCUUUUAAAGGUCUUGUUAUUGUAAAUAUAUUUAGG